Molecule: ribosomal RNA, 486 nt
Filed under: uncultured bacterium
Lineage: Bacteria
Description: bacterial SSU rRNA
Rfam family: Bacterial small subunit ribosomal RNA
Source: RNAcentral
AGAGUUUGAUCAUGGCUCAGAACGAACGCUGGCGGCGCGUCUUAAACAUGCAAGUCGAACGAUCUGUAGCAAUACAGGGAGUGGCGGACGGGUGAGGAACACGUAGGAAUCUACCUUGAAGAGCGGGACAACUUUGGGAAACCGGGGCUAAUACCGCAUAGUACAGAGAUGUUAAAGGGCUAGCAAUAGUCGCUUCGAGAUGAGCCUGCGGUCUAUCAGCUUGUUGGUGAGGUAAUGGCUCACCAAGGCUACGACGGAUAGCCGGUCCGAGAGGAUGAUCGGCCACACUGGCACUGAGACACGGGCCAGACUCCUACGGGAGGCAGCAGUUAAGAAUCUUGCGCAAUGGGGGAAACCCUGACGCAGCGACGCCGCGUGAAGGAUGAAGGCUUUCGGGUUGUAAACUUCGGUAGACUGGGAAGAAGAAAUACGUUCGUUGAGGGCGUAUAGUGACGGUACCAGUCUGAAGCCCCGGCUAAUUACGUG